AUAGCAAGAGUGAACCACCUGAUCCCUUCCCGAACUCAGAAGUGAAACCUCUUCGCGCUGAUGGUAGUGUGGGGUUACCCAUGUGAGAGUAAGUCAUCGCCAG
RNAcentral lists this ribosomal RNA (103 nucleotides) under Candidatus Acinetobacter avistercoris. The record is from RNAcentral. Lineage: Bacteria; Pseudomonadati; Pseudomonadota; Gammaproteobacteria; Moraxellales; Moraxellaceae.